Candidatus Rokubacteria bacterium 13_1_40CM_2_68_13 is the source of this 74-nucleotide non-coding RNA. The record is from Rfam. NCBI's taxonomy places the organism in Bacteria, Candidatus Rokuibacteriota.
GGGUCAGUAGCUCGAACGGCUAGAGCACCGGACUCCAAAUCCGGGGGUUGCAGGUUCGAAUCCUGCCUGACCCG